This 2440-nucleotide ribosomal RNA is filed under the name Deltaproteobacteria bacterium. Its description in RNAcentral is "partial 23S ribosomal RNA". It matches the Rfam family "Bacterial large subunit ribosomal RNA", at positions 1 to 2317 of the family's 2925-position model. Lineage: Bacteria; Pseudomonadati; Myxococcota; Myxococcia. The record is from RNAcentral.
GGUCAAGCUACUAAGGGUAGGCGGUGGAUGCCUUGGCACCAGCAGGCGAUGAAGGGCGUGGUAAGCUGCGAUAAGCCCCGGGUAGCCGCACACAGGCGUUAAUCCGGGGAUGCCCGAAUGGGGAAACCCGAUGCCGUUUGUCCGGCAUCAUCCCGGCCUGAAUCCAUAGGGUCGGGAGGCGAACCGGGGGAACUGAAACAUCUUAGUACCCCGAGGAAAAGAAAUCAACCGAGAUUCCCCCAGUAGUGGCGAGCGAAAAGGGAACAGCCCAAACCGUUCCGAUGUUAAAGGCCGUAUCCGUUGUCGGAGCGGGGUCGUGGGGUCCUGUCGGGGUCCGGUACGGCGGAUCCAGGGAGUUACCAACCUUCGUCCUAACCGAACAGCCUGGAAAGGCUGGCCGUAGAGGGUGAUAGCCCCGUAGGGUAAAGGAAGAAGGCUCCCCGGGCGGGAUUCCCAAGUACCACGGGACACGGGAAAUCCUGUGGGAAUCUGGGGGGACCACCCUCCAAGGCUAAAUACUCGCUGGUGACCGAUAGUGCACGAGUACCGCGAGGGAAAGGUGAAAAGAACCCCUGUGAGGGGAGUGAAAUAGAACCUGAAACCGCUUACUUACAAGCAGUCGGAGGGCUAUGGUUCCGGCUUCGGUCGGGACAAUGCCUGACGGCGUGCCUUUUGUUUAAUGAGCCGGCGAGUUACUUUGUGCGGCGAGGUUAAGCCGGGAGGCGGAGCCGUAGCGAAAGCGAGUCCGAAUAGGGCGUUUAGUCGUACGGAGUAGACCCGAAUCCAGGUGAGCUACCCCUGGCCAGGCUGAAACGUGGGUAAAACCACGUGGAGGGCCGAACCGGUGUUGGUUGAAAACAGCUCGGAUGAGUUGGGGGUAGGAGUGAAAGGCCUAUCAAACCUGGUAAUAGCUGGUUCUCCCCGAAAUAGCUUUAGGGCUAGCCUCGCAUGGUCAGUGGUGGUGGUAGAGCACUGGAUGGGCUAGGGCCCUUACCCGGGUGCCGACCCCAACCAAACUCCGAAUGCCGCCAACUGCAGCGCGGGAGUCAGACUGCGGGCGAUAAGGUCCGUGGUCGAGAGGGAAACAGCCCAGACCGCCAGCUAAGGUCCCGAAAUAGAGGCUAAGUGGGAAAGGAUGUGUGGGCGCCCAGACAGCCAGGAGGUUGGCUUAGAGGCAGCCAUCCUUUAAAGAGUGCGUAACAGCUCACUGGUCGAGUGGCCGCGCGCCGAAAAUGUAACGGGGCUCAAGCCUCUUGCCGAAGCUGCGGAUUCGUUCCGAUUCGUCGGGACGAGUGGUAGGGGAGCGUUCUGCACUGAGUGAAGGCGGACCGUGAGGACCGCUGGACGGUGCUGAAGUGAUUAUGCCGGCACGAGUAGCGAUAAGGCAGGUGAGAAUCCUGCCCGCCGAAAGCCUAAGGUUUCCUGAGGAAGGGUCGUCCGCUCAGGGUUAGUCGGGUCCUAAGCCGAGGCCGAAAGGCGUAGGUGAUGGAUAACGGGUUAAUAUUCCCGUACCACCUGGCGGCGCACAAGUCCCGAUGGGGUGACGCAGGAGGGUAAGCCAGCCCGCGACCGGAAGUGCGGGUCUAAGCCCGUAGGAGGGCUCUGCAGGCAAAUCCGCGGGGCCGCUACCUCCGAGAGGUGAUGGGUACCUCCUCUGCAAGGAGGGGGGAACUGGUCCAACCACGCUGCCAAGAAAAACCUCUAGGGAGUCGUCGUCCGGUGCCCGUACCGCAAACCGACACAGGUAGGCAGGGAGAGUAUCCCAAGGCGCGCGAGAGAACGCUCGCUAAGGAACUCGGCAAAAUGGCCCCGUAACUUCGGGAGAAGGGGUGCCAUGCCAGGGUGAGGGAUCUCGCAUUCCAAGCCCUGGAAGGCCGCAGUGAAAAGGGCCAAGCGACUGUUUACUAAAAACACAGGUCUCUGCGAAGUCGUAAGACGACGUAUAGGGACUGACGCCUGCCCGGUGCCGGAAGGUUAACAGGAGGGGUCAUCUCGAGCAAUCGGGAGAAGCUCUGAAUCGAAGCCCCGGUAAACGGCGGCCGUAACUAUAACGGUCCUAAGGUAGCGAAAUUCCUUGUCGGNNGAAAUUCCUUGUCGGGUAAGUUCCGACCUGCACGAAUGGCGUAACGACUUGGGCGCUGUCUCGGCGAGUGGCUCGGCGAAACUGUAGUACCGGUGAAGAUGCCGGUUACCCGCGGCUAGACGGAAAGACCCCGUGCACCUUUACUGCAGCUUGGCAUUGGAUUUUGGUGUUGUAUGUGUAGGAUAGGUGGGAGGCGUUGAAGCGGGGGCGCCAGCUCUCGUGGAGCCAACCUUGAAAUACCACCCUUACUAUACUGGGCUUCUAACCUAGGCCCGUGAUCCGGGUCGGGGACAGUGCCAGGUGGGCAGUUUGACUGGGGCGGUCGCCUCCUAAAAGGUAACGGAGGCGCCCAAAGGU